RNAcentral lists this ribosomal RNA (623 nucleotides) under uncultured bacterium. RNAcentral describes it as "bacterial SSU rRNA". It matches the Rfam family "Bacterial small subunit ribosomal RNA", at positions 35 to 690 of the family's 1533-position model. The record is from RNAcentral.
GCUGGCGGCGUGCCUAACACAUGCAAGUCGAACGAGAAAGUGGAGCAAUCCAUGAGUAAAGUGGCGACCGGGUGAGUAACACGUGACUAACCUACCUCCGAGUGGGGAAUAACUCCGGGAAACCGGGGCUAAUACCGCAUAACAUCGCAAGAUCAAAGCAGCAAUGCGCUUGGAGAGGGGGUCGCGGCUGAUUAGCUCGUUGGCGGGGUAACGGCCCACCAAGGCGAAGAUCGGUAUCCGGCCUGAGAGGGCGCACGGACACACUGGAACUGAAACACGGUCCAGACUCCUACGGGAGGCAGCAGUGGGGAAUUUUGCGCAAUGGGGGAAACCCUGACGCAGCAACGCCGCGUGGAGGAUGAAGCCCUUUGGGGCGUAAACUCCUUUCGACUCGGACGAUAAUGACGGUACGAGUGGAAGAAGCACCGGCUAACUCUGUGCCAGCAGCCGCGGUAAUACAGAGGGUGCGAGCGUUGUUCGGAAUUAUUGGGCGUAAAGGGCGCGUANGCGGUGCGGUAAGUCACCUGUGAAAUCUCCCGGCUUAACUGGGAGUCUGCAGGCGAAACUACCGUGCUGGAGUGUGGGAAAGGUGCGUGGAAUUCCCGGUGUGGCGGUGAAAUGCG